UUGCUGUUUCUCUCUCCAGAAACACACACUAGGACAGCCUUCUCUCUCACUCUAUGUUUCUCUCUCUCUAUUUCGCGGAAACCUAAAGUGGUGACGACUAGGGUUUUCGGGAGUUUCGCCAUCGAAUUACUCACAAACGGCUUUAAAUCUUGAUAUCUUAAACAUGAAUAGCCAUGAUGAAAAGAGAAUUUUCCCAGUAGAUGCCGAAGGGAACAAUGCUUCUUCUGUACUAAACUCCUGCAGCUCCACCAUUAAGAUUGAUUCAUUAUGUAUCAAACUUGGCUUUGUCAAGGAGAAGGGUGAUGCUGAAAAAUGUAGCCAUUUUUCUAUAAGAGGUUAUGUUUCUGGGAUGCGUGAAAGAGGUAGCAGCAACUUCUUACCUUUUGCUGAAGCACUUCCUCCUAUGGAUGUGCCAAAUUUUAAAUAUUGGCUUUGUCAAAGUUGUGUGCAUAACUGUGGAAAUGCAAAAACCUCACAUGAGACUCCAGUAGUCUCUGUGUGUGAUCAAAGUAUGAUCCGAUCAUGUGCAAGGUCUUUCCCUAAACAAGACUGUGGAGUAACAGUGCUCCCUUUUGGUGAAGGCACUUCAGGUCUUAAAUCUGUUGAUAAUACGAAAGAUGAUGAUGAUGAAAAUGUCCUUCCUGCUUUUGGAGUUGAUAAAAGUCAACCUUCUCAAGAAAUACCUGUUGAUAAUGCAGUUCCUAAAGAACCAGUUAAAAUUAGUGACACCAAUGUUGCUUCAGAGGCAAGUGCAGGUUUAUUAUGUAGGAAAGAGAGCAAUGAUAGGAGAGAUGAUGAGUAUCAACAGCAAGACAGUGUAGUAAUAGAGACAAUAACUGGUGUUGUUGGAACUCCAAUCCGAUCCAGUCAGCAAAAUGAUCAAUCAAAUGGACAUACAAGACGAAAGGCUCGUAAAGUGCGUUUGUUGAAGGAGUUGCUGUGUGGAAAUAAUGAAAUCCAGCAAAAAGAAAAGGAAAAUUCUAAUACUGAAUUGGAUCCAGAACCAUGUAAUCCAUUGCCAACUUCUUCCUUUAUCAAAAGGAAAGUGCCACAUGAUCAAGAUCAGAUACCUGUUGAUAUAACCACUCCUGUGAAUGCUUUUAAAAAAACAAAGACCUCUAAAGGGAAUGCAGUUGCAGUUGCAGUUGCAAAAACCACCAUUGUUGAUCAACAUUUUAAAGAUCAAGAAGCCACUGAAAGUACACCAAACGAUAAUAGGACUCAGAAGAACUCCAAUUUUGAUAAGGUUAGUAGUGAUCCAGUAACUGCAUGGAGGUCAAUAUUCAGUGAUAUGACUAAAACAGACAAUCAUGUUACUACUACUGCCACUGGUGCUUGUAAACCAACUAGUGAUAUCUCAAAAGACAGAGGAAGCGGACCCCACUCAAACUUCAUGGCCCCACCACAUCCGGAGAAAAAGUUAAAUUUUUCUAUGAAUAUGUCAAAAAAUCCUCUCAAAAGUAAAUCUUUUGGAGAGGAAUUAUAUUCAAGGAGAGCAAAUGUAGAUGAUUGUUCUAGACCAAAAGAUCUCAAGGCACAUCCGGAGAAAAAGUUGAAUUUUUCUAUAGACAUGUCGAAAGAUCCUCUCAAAAGUAAAUCUUUUGGAGAGGAAUUAUAUUCAAGGAGAGCAAAUGUAGAUGAUUGUUCUAGACCAAAAGAUGGCAAGUCAGAAGCGGAAUUAGGACUUAAUCUUUCUCUAAAUCAUGACCCACAAACACUCAUCAAUCGUCCUCUCACCAAUGAUAAUCAUAGAAAAGAUAAUUUGUUCUUUGGGGAUUUGAAAUCAAGAAUUCAUAAUUGGAUUCCAUAUGAUUCAAAAUCAAAAAAAGGAUCAGUUCAUGAUGUCAGCAAGGGACAUGCUACUAAACAAGUACAGCAGCCCUAUACAUACGGGAGUUGGUCUGGACAUCAGAAAUUGGAUUUUUCUGAUCCACACAAGAGGAACAAUGGAGUUAAAGGAUACCCAGAUGUAAUGAGGCCUUAUAAUCGUCAAAGAAAAGGACCAAUGGUGAUGUUGGGGAGAUCAGAUGAAACUGAAGUUGUUGAACUCAUGGCAAAAAAUCAAUACGAGAGAAACUUAUGUGAAGCUAGAAGUAGUAGUAGCAACAACACUUUCAUACCAAAUGUAUCAGGUUUACAUAAUAUCAACAUUCACAAACGUAUGACAUCAUCAUCAUCAUCAUCAUCAUCAUCACAUCAAGACAAUCUCCACCCUUCAACGAGUGAGAAACCCAAUAUGGGUCCCACCACCAUGAGAAAUCAAGCUUCUGGAUUCUUCAAUCAACAACUUUUUGAUUUCAAUGAGUUUGAUGGAAAUUGGAGACACAAUAACUCACGUUACAAUUGUAUACCAAUACCAAAGAAGAAAAAGAAAACUCCACCCCUCGUCUCUUACCAGUUGAUUAAGCCAAGUCUUACCUUUGGAUAUACAAAAUGCUCAGAGAAAGAUAAUGAAAAGGGCAUCAUGGAUUUGGAUCUGAAUGUUGUGGCUCCAAAUGUUAUUGAAGAACAAAACAGUUUCCAAUCAUUAAAUCCGACAUCAUCCAAACAACAUCAUCCGAAAAAGAUACAUUCGUUAGAUUCUUCAUAUCCAAAUGAAACGAUCCCUGCGAUGCAAUUACUUAGUCUAAUGGAUGCAGGAAAGUCAAAUCAUCAGGUGAAUAAUACAGAUGAAAGAAAGCUUCCAAAACCUCUUUCUCCUUGUUACACUCACUGCAGCAGCUCAAACAUGAUCAAUGGAAAAACAAUACCAAUACCCAAUGUUCAGUUCCCAAAACCGAGGUAUCUCCAGUCAUCUUCAUUUCCUUGUGGGUUUCAAACUGGUCAAAAUGUUAAGUUGACUUCCAGUCAAUCAAGAGGUAUGUCUUCAGCUUCUGUUUUCAGACCACAGGAAUCUUAUGUUUUUCCUGUUCCAUGUCAUGUGAGUGAAGAUCGAAGUGAAGGUGUGGCUUUAAGAGAUAGAAUUGAGCCAAUUGGGAUUGAGAUUUGUACAAUUAACAAAAACCCAGCUGAUUUUAGUACACCAGGACCCGAAAAUCUGUAUAUGAUUAGUGUUGAAGAUCUGGUAUUCAGAGGGGAGAAGGGAAAAUCAACAACAGAAAAUGCUAAUGGACCAAAAAGGCAAAAAAGAUCAUAAAUUUGAUGACAGGUUUUGUGACUUUUACUGUCAAAAGAGCAGAAUAAUAAGGAAAAAAGAGAGAAGCAUUUGUGACAUGAAUACUUUUUAGCUAAAGUAAAGUUGUUAAGUUAUUGCCUUUAUGGUUGACAGGUUAUUGAUAAUUUUGUAGGUACUAUUCUCACAAAGCCGUAUAAAGUAAAGAUGAUGUAUUGACUUGUACAUAAUGCAGCAAAAAAGUGCAUUUACUUCUGGAUUUUCAGCUGUGGAAAAGGCUUUAGGUUCCAUGUGCUUUACAGGCAAGAAUUCGGAAUCUUUAGUUCAGAGAUCCAAAGGUCUUAAGGCGUAUUCUCAAUUUUAGAAUUAUAUGUAUAUGAAGGUUAUUUGUAGAAAGUCAUACUCCAUCCAAUUGUAGGGGGUGCUUCAUUAGAAGAUUUCCGACAUGAAAUGUGACUCACAAUGGUGAAAUAAGGAGGGUGAGGGUGGUGGUGAGUAGGGGAGUAAACAUUAAAUCAGAUGCUUGUAAUAAAAUUGAAAUAAAAAGGACAAAAGUAUAUAUGAAAAUAUUGUAACAAAAGCACACACACAAGUGGAGCAAUGACUCAUACUACCCCACUAGCUUAAUUUAAAACCUACCCUCUCAUACAACCCAUCAUGUAUUACCUCACACUAUUCAAACAAUUCUUUUCCGGUCAUCAUCUUCUCUUUGCACCAUAAAUUAUGACGUUUCCCACUCUUCUAAUUGUAACUGUCAGUUGCCUCCGUUUGGAUAGGUCCGAACCAUUGUAAUCUUCAUUUCCUUAAUUCUUUGGUGUCGACACCAC
Non-coding RNA from Lactuca sativa (garden lettuce), 3939 nucleotides. The record is from RefSeq and is a predicted model, not a curated record. NCBI's taxonomy places the organism in Eukaryota, Viridiplantae, Streptophyta, Magnoliopsida, Asterales, Asteraceae.